Flavobacteriaceae bacterium is the source of this 73-nucleotide transfer RNA. It matches the Rfam family "tRNA". Rfam says of the family: Transfer RNA (tRNA) molecules are approximately 80 nucleotides in length. Their secondary structure includes four short double-helical elements and three loops (D, anti-codon, and T loops). Further hydrogen bonds mediate the characteristic L-shaped molecular structure. tRNAs have two regions of fundamental functional importance: the anti-codon, which is responsible for specific mRNA codon recognition, and the 3' end, to which the tRNAs corresponding amino acid is attached (by aminoacyl-tRNA synthetases). tRNAs cope with the degeneracy of the genetic code in two manners: having more than one tRNA (with a specific anti-codon) for a particular amino acid; and 'wobble' base-pairing, i.e. permitting non-standard base-pairing at the 3rd anti-codon position. The record is from Rfam. Lineage: Bacteria; Pseudomonadati; Bacteroidota; Flavobacteriia; Flavobacteriales; Flavobacteriaceae.
GACCUGAUAGCUCAGUUGGUAGAGCAUCUCCCUUUUAAGGAGAGGGUCCUGGGUUCGAGCCCCAGUCAGGUCA